RNAcentral lists this small RNA (512 nucleotides) under Histoplasma capsulatum. RNAcentral's name for it is "hypothetical RNA". RNAcentral also lists the same sequence under 1 other name. Lineage: Eukaryota; Fungi; Ascomycota; Eurotiomycetes; Onygenales; Ajellomycetaceae. The record is from RNAcentral.
CUUUUAAUCUUCUUGAUAUCUCAACUCUAUUCUCAAACACCUCUGUAAUAUGCAGUUCUGCAGCUUUCAUUGGAGUGUUGAAUUCAUAAUUAACAACUCAGAUAUUGACAUCAAAAAGAGCAUUAGAUGUCAAAGAAGAAGUAAUCUCAUCAUCUGCCAAAUCCUCUCUCUAUCAUCCUGUCAAAUCCCCUCAAAUUCAUGAAAUAUCUGAUGACAAAAAGCUGCUGCCUACAUGUACAAGAUCCACAGCCACUAGCCAGCAGCUGAAGAAGACUUGAAAUUGAUGGUCAAAUGAGUGUGAUUCUUUGUGGAUUGGGUGUGAGAUAACUGCUUACUGAUGUUGUCAAAAGAUGAAUUGUCAUAACUUUGAGCAGAGCACUUGUUGGAUGGUUUUUGAUGAUACUUAUAUUCAACUUCUGAGUAGUGAGAUUGUCAGUUGGAUAGAUGAUGUUGAAUGUGGAUAUACAACAGUUAAAAAUCUGUCAAGAAAGAUGACAAAAAGAUUAAUGGAU